CCUACGGGAGACAGCAGUGAGGAAUAUUGGUCAAUGGGCGCGAGCCUGAACCAGCCAAGUAGCGUGAAGGAUGACUGCCCUACGGGUUGUACACUUCUUUUAUCAAAGCAUAAAGUGAGGCACGUGUGCCUUUUUGUAUGUACUUUAUGAAUACGGAUAGGCUAACUCCGUGCCAGCAUCCGCGGUACUACGGAGGAUCCGAGAGUUAUCCGGAUUUAUUUGGUUUAAAGGGAGCGUAGAUGGGUUGUUAAGUCAGUUGUGAAAGUUUGCGGCUCAAACGUAAAAUUGCAAUUGAUACUGGCAGUCGUGAGUACAGUUGAGGUAGGCGGAAUUCGUGGUGUAGCGGUGAAAUGCUUAGAUAUCACGAAGAACUCCGAUUGCGAAGGCAGCUUACUAAACUGCCACUGACAUUGAUGCUCGAAAGUGUGGGUAUCAAACAGGAUUAGAUACCCCAGUAGUC
This 460-nucleotide ribosomal RNA is filed under the name uncultured bacterium. RNAcentral describes it as "partial 16S ribosomal RNA". It matches the Rfam family "Bacterial small subunit ribosomal RNA", at positions 338 to 795 of the family's 1533-position model. The record is from RNAcentral.